This 398-nucleotide ribosomal RNA is filed under the name uncultured bacterium. RNAcentral describes it as "partial 16S ribosomal RNA". It matches the Rfam family "Bacterial small subunit ribosomal RNA", at positions 523 to 918 of the family's 1533-position model. The record is from RNAcentral.
AUACGUAGGGUGCGAGCGUUGUCCGGAAUUACUGGGCGUAAAGAGCUCGUAGGUGGUUUGUCGCGUCGUCUGUGAGAUUCCGGGGCUUAACUCCGGGCGUGCAGGCGAUACGGGCAUAACUUGAGUACUGUAGGGGAGACUGGAAUUCCUGGUGUAGCGGUGAAAUGCGCAGAUAUCAGGAGGAACACCGGGGGCGAAGGCGGGUCUUGGGGCAGUAACUGACGCUGAGGAGCGAAAGCAUGGGUGGCGAACAGGAUUAGAUACCCUGGUAGUCCAUGCCGUAAACGGUGGGCGCUAGGUGUAGGGGUCUUCCACGACUUCUGUGCCGUAGCUAACGCAUUAAGCGCCCCGCCUGGGGAGUACGGCCGCAAGGCUAAAACUCAAAGGAAUUGACGGGG